CGACCCGCCAGUCAACCUCAACACUCUGACGAUUGACCUCGGAUCAGGUAGGGAUACCCGCUGAACUUAAGCA
This 73-nucleotide ribosomal RNA is filed under the name Lecanora atra. RNAcentral describes it as "partial 28S ribosomal RNA". Lineage: Eukaryota; Fungi; Ascomycota; Lecanoromycetes; Lecanorales; Lecanoraceae. The record is from RNAcentral.